AAUUGGUUUGAUCAGAUACUUGUUUCAAGCUUUCUGAAAUGUAACUCCCAAGUUUUCCUCUUCUACAAGAGCUGUUUUGCCAUGUCGGUCCAGUUCACCAGCAAGGUGCCUCCAAGCUUCUGCUACUGGGUAAAGGUUGAUUCCAACUGUAGAAUGCUAUAAAAUAGGGUAAAACUGAAAGAGAAUAGUGUCGGAGCAAUUGAAUUUUGCUAUGAAGUUAUCAAUUUGGCGAGUCCACUGACUCGCUCUCUGCAAUUGGG
This 260-nucleotide unclassified non-coding RNA is filed under the name Hevea brasiliensis (rubber tree). The record is from RNAcentral. Lineage: Eukaryota; Viridiplantae; Streptophyta; Magnoliopsida; Malpighiales; Euphorbiaceae.